UACGAAGGUGGCAAGCGUUACUCGGAAUUACUAGGCGUAAAGGGCAGGUAGGUGGUUUGAUAAGUCUGUUGUGUAAGCUCCUGGCUUAACUGGGAGAGGUCAACGGAAACUAUCAGACUUGAGUAUAGGAGAGGUUACUGGAAUUCCCGGUGUAGCGGUGAAAUGCGCAGAUAUCGGGAGGAACACCAAUGGCGAAAGCAGGUAACUGGACUAUUACUGACACUCAGCUGCGAAAGCUAGGGGAGCAAACAGG
This 253-nucleotide ribosomal RNA is filed under the name uncultured bacterium. RNAcentral describes it as "partial 16S ribosomal RNA". It matches the Rfam family "Bacterial small subunit ribosomal RNA", at positions 524 to 776 of the family's 1533-position model. The record is from RNAcentral.